RNAcentral lists this ribosomal RNA (433 nucleotides) under uncultured bacterium. RNAcentral describes it as "partial 16S ribosomal RNA". It matches the Rfam family "Bacterial small subunit ribosomal RNA", at positions 29 to 507 of the family's 1533-position model. The record is from RNAcentral.
AACGAACGCUGGCGGCAUGCCUAACACAUGCAAGUCGAACGAAGGCUUCGGCCUUAGUGGCGCACGGGUGCGUAACGCGUGGGAAUCUGCCCUUGGGUUCGGAAUAACAGCGGGAAACUGCUGCUAAUACCGGAUGAUGACGUAAGUCCAAAGAUUUAUCGCCCAAGGAUGAGCCCGCGUAGGAUUAGCUAGUUGGUGGGGUAAAGGCCCACCAAGGCGACGAUCCUUAGCUGGUCUGAGAGGAUGAUCAGCCACACUGGGACUGAGACACGGCCCAGACUCCUACGGGAGGCAGCAGUGGGGAAUAUUGGACAAUGGGCGAAAGCCUGAUCCAGCAAUGCCGCGUGAGUGAUGAAGGCCUUAGGGUUGUAAAGCUCUUUUACCCGGGAUGAUAAUGACAGUACCGGGAGAAUAAGCGCCGGCUAACUCCGUG